GUCUCGGCGGCUUCCUCCUCCCAGUGUGCGAGGGAGGCCGGGAGGGGUCCCUGGGCGGGGAGUUGCUGCGCAUCUGCUGUGUCUGCCUGUCUCUCUGUCUGGGUCUCUUUCAGGCUGCGUCGGUCUGUCUGUCUGGGUCUGUUUCAGGCUGUGUCUGUCUGUCUGUCUGGGUCUGUUUCAGGCUGUGUCUGUCUGUCUGUCCGGGUCUGUUUCAGGCUGUGUCUGUCUGUCUGUCCGGGUCUGUUUCAGGCUGUGUCUGUCUGUCUGUCCGGGUCUGUUUCAGGCUGUGUCUGUCUGUCUGUCCGGGUCUGUUUCAGGCUGUGUCUGUCUGUCUGUUUGUCUGGGUCUGUUUCAGGCUGUGUCUGUCUGUCCGGGUCUGUUUCAGGCUGUAUGUGUGUCUGCUCUUUGCUUCUGCUCCUGGCUCUGUGUGUAUUUCCCGGG
This 441-nucleotide long non-coding RNA is filed under the name Homo sapiens (human). RNAcentral describes it as "HSALNT0395749". Lineage: Eukaryota; Metazoa; Chordata; Mammalia; Primates; Hominidae. The record is from RNAcentral.